Molecule: long non-coding RNA, 501 nt
Organism: Mauremys mutica (yellowpond turtle)
Lineage: Eukaryota; Metazoa; Chordata; Testudines; Geoemydidae
Exons: 3
Source: RefSeq, a predicted model, not a curated record
GAGCAACUAAGAUACUUUUCUGUGUAUCUGAAACAACUGCCAUGAUGUUUUAAUAUCAAUUGUCCCAGCUAUUACCAGAUGAGUGCAUAAAAGAUCUCCUCACACUAUUUACUUCAGAACGCAAAUCCAGGUCCAUUGUUAACUAGAGGGGCAACAGCAGGUGCAGCAGCAGGAUUAGCAGUUGCAGGAGUCCCAGAGAAAGCAGCACUUCCCGAAUGUGAUUUGAUAUAAACUUGCCAUCCACCAUUUCAACACCAGCCUGAAAGGAGGAGCAAAGAAAGGACCUGUUUCUUCUUCAUACAUCUUCCAUGCUUUAUUUCUAAUCAAUAUUGGUUGAACAGAACAGCUGUAGUAUUCUAAAGAUAAGUGUCAUCUUAGGGCUUGUUGCUCAAUUCCAGCAAUAAAAAAAUAGCCAUACUGGGUCAGACCAAAGGUCCAUCUAGCCCAGUAUCUCGUCUUCCAACAAUGGUCCAUGCUAGGUGCCCUAGAGGAAAUGAACAG